UGGAAAUGCAUGUAGUAUUUUCAUCCUCUGAUGGUGGAGGAGAACAAAAAGGCUUUUGUCUUCAAAGAACAGUGGUGAGUAUGAAGAAGAUCUACUGGAGCCAGGUCUUGGGGUGGCCAUAAGGAAAUCCAUGAGCCUUUAUCACACACGCAGUGGUGAGUACCCAAUCGUAUUAUUUUCCUUCUCCGCCUUCACAGAAAUAUAUAUGUGUAUAUAUAUAGUUUUCUUCAAUGGGACAUCUUCCACCUCCCGACCACCUCCUCAACUCUCUCUUGCUCAGCAGAGAAUUAAUCAUGGAGUAAGAAGGGGAAUGAAGAAGCAAGAUAUUAUACAAAUCUAACAAAUUAAUAAAAGAAAGAAACUAAGUGCCCUGUUCAGAAGGAUGUUGCAGCAACCAGGGCAAGGAGCUGAAGCCAGUCUGCGGACUGGGAGGGUGAGGGUGAGGCCAUCAACAGCACUCAGAGCACUCAGGAAGUAUCCACGCGGAGGGAGGGCUGUGUGCUGGUCCUGAGAAGGAGGCAGGCAUGUGUGAGCCUUUACUCAAAAGGCAUUCACAAGACUGGGAAUGCGGUGAGAAGAGCGCUAAGCCGAGCCAGACUUGAAUCUAGUCCUAGCUUUUCCACUAAUGAGUUUUACAACCUCGAACAAGCCUCUAAACCCCUCGGACCCUGGGUUCUCUUCCAUCUUUCCUGCCUCCUGUCCUUGUUAUCAAGGAAGCUCAAAUGCUUUGGCAAUACUGUCAAGCAUCAAGCUCCAUACAAAUGGAAUUCGUUUACUGAGCAUCUACUGUGUGCUAGAGGCUGUGAGGGCAUCAUGCAAGCUACAAAUCUGAAUCCAAUUCAGAUCCUGCCCCCCAGGAACCGAAGAUCCGUAAGGGCAAAUAAGCCACGCCUCGGUUGGUUCUACUGCAAGGAGGAAAGAGAGGUGCGGAUGCAGCGCAGUGGACAGGCAAGCAGCACUGGCAUCCGGCCCGCGGACCAGGCCCACCCGCUCCGCGGCCGCGGUUGCGCUCUCCGUUUCCAAGGCGAUGCGCCCGCGAGGGCUUCCCCCUCCCGCCACCCUGCGCCGCAGCUACCCGCGGGCCAGGCGCGCCACCUGCUGGCCACAAGGGGAAGAGUCCGGGAGAAGGGCCCGCGACGCAGCCUUUUGCCGCCGAGAUCCGGCCCUCCCUCCUUCUCCCUGAGCGAUUUUCACCGCCACGGCUCACUCUGCUGAUUGCACACAACGCACGCCCCCUCCCUGCUUCCCUCCAGUGGCAAACCCGCCGGAGACAAGGCUCUGCAAUCUACCCCAUCUCUUCAUCUCUCCAUCUCUUGAAACCAAGUUUAACUUGAAUGACCAGAACUCUGGCAAAAAGAGAUCACAUCGCUUUUCCCCCACAUAUCUCCUCCUUCUCCUAAUUUUUGAAAUUACUUUUAUGAUCUCUUUGUUCUCUGUGAGGGAGAGGAGCCCAGAACGGUAAGCUGGAGCCAAAGUGUCAUGUCCCAGAAGCCUGAGCCAGGUAAUCCGGACUAUGCCUAAGGGCGUUAGUGUAUGAUGUCAUGGGAGCAAUUCAGCUCCAGUGAGUUGCUACAUGCUUUUGGCAGUUUUAAAAUAUGACUACAUAAGAGAAACAUACAAAUCAAUAGAAUGUGACAAAAGUCCGGAAAUAGAUAUGCAAAAACAUAUAUACAUAUAUUUGACUAUCAUAUUUGAUAUAUAUAUAUAUGCCCC
This is a long non-coding RNA of Ursus maritimus (polar bear), 1713 nucleotides long. Lineage: Eukaryota; Metazoa; Chordata; Mammalia; Carnivora; Ursidae. The record is from Ensembl.